AGUGGCGGACGGGUGAGUAACGCGUGGGUAACCUGCCUCAUACAGGGGGAUAACAGUUAGAAAUAGCUGCUAAUACCGCAUAAGCGCACAGUUCCGCAUGGAACAGUGUGAAAAACUCCGGUGGUGUGAGAUGGACCCGCGUCUGAUUAGCCAGUUGGCGGGGUAACGGCCCACCAAAGCGACGAUCAGUAGCCGGCCUGAGAGGGUGAACGGCCACAUUGGGACUGAGACACGGCCCAAACUCCUACGGGAGGCAGCAUG
Molecule: ribosomal RNA, 261 nt
Filed under: uncultured bacterium
Lineage: Bacteria
Description: partial 16S ribosomal RNA
Rfam family: Bacterial small subunit ribosomal RNA
Source: RNAcentral